AAUUUUUCCUUGCCUACACACUAUUUAAUUCUAGCACAUGCUUUUCCCCAAAUCAUUCCAUCAAAUGACCACAUUACCCUCAAAGAUUCAACAUUUAGUACGUAGGGAUGCUUAGAGGUAAGUCUUCUACAAAGGAUCGUGUGGGCCCCGCUAGGUCUCAAUAUGAUGCAUAUAAGAAUGACCUAAAGGCUGACCUACGUUGUGGUUUACUAACAAGGCCGCUCGGGGGAGCAUAUGGUCGAUAGUGGCUGCUUUGCUUUCCACCU
Molecule: long non-coding RNA, 266 nt
Filed under: Capsicum annuum
Lineage: Eukaryota; Viridiplantae; Streptophyta; Magnoliopsida; Solanales; Solanaceae
Description: long non-coding RNA (CANN_LNC010903)
Source: RNAcentral